UUUCCGUAGGUGAACCUGCGGAAGGAUCAUUGCCGUAAACCUCAACGAGGAGGACCGUGAAUGCGUCAACGAAUGGCGUCGGGUUGGGCUGACGCAGUCCCUGCCCUCGUGGUGCGGACGAUCGACCAAACCUCCGGCGCGAUGGGCGCCAAGGAACAUGAAACUCGUGGGCGGGCAGGACUUCCGUCCUGCCCGUGCCGUAGUUUUGCUCGGAAUCGAAUGACUCUCGGCAACGGAUAUCUCGGCCCUCGCAUCGAUGAAGAACGUAGCAAAAUGCGAUACGUGGUGUGAAUUGCAGAAUCCCGCGAACCAUUGAGUCUUUGAACGCAAGUUGCGCCCGAGGCUUUCCCGCCGAGGGCACGCCUGCCUGGGCGUCACGCCAUCGUCGCUCCGCGCCCCCACGCACGAGUGGUGGCGUCGGACGCAGACACUGGCCCCCUGCGCCCUCGGGCGUGGUCGGCCGAAGAGAGGGGCCGUCGCUGGUGGUCGGACACGACGGAUGGUGGCCACGAGCAAGCCGGACGUCGUGCCCCCGCCGUGGAGAUGAGCUCCGGAGGACCCCCCCACCCCCGCAUAAUCAUUUGCCUCGGAUUGCGACCUCAGGUCAGGCGGGGCUACCCGCUGAGUUUAA
This 631-nucleotide ribosomal RNA is filed under the name Goeppertia foliosa. Its description in RNAcentral is "eukaryotic LSU rRNA". The stretch from base 222 to 377 matches the Rfam family "5.8S ribosomal RNA". Lineage: Eukaryota; Viridiplantae; Streptophyta; Magnoliopsida; Zingiberales; Marantaceae. The record is from RNAcentral.